This 109-nucleotide transfer RNA is filed under the name hydrocarbon metagenome. Its description in RNAcentral is "tRNA-Met". It matches the Rfam family "tRNA". From Rfam's summary of the family: Transfer RNA (tRNA) molecules are approximately 80 nucleotides in length. The record is from RNAcentral.
GCUGCGGUGGCCUAGCUGGUUAGGGCGCCAGACUCAUAGGGUUUGAGCAGAACGGAGCGCCCAUACCUGGGACAUCUGGAGGUCGUGGGUUCGGAUCCCACCCGCAGCA